Molecule: transfer RNA, 74 nt
Filed under: Mycobacteroides abscessus subsp. massiliense
Lineage: Bacteria; Bacillati; Actinomycetota; Actinomycetes; Mycobacteriales; Mycobacteriaceae
Description: tRNA-Gly(tcc)
Rfam family: tRNA
About the family: Transfer RNA (tRNA) molecules are approximately 80 nucleotides in length. Their secondary structure includes four short double-helical elements and three loops (D, anti-codon, and T loops).
Source: RNAcentral
GUGGUAGUCGUCUAGCGGCAAGGACCCCUGCCUUCCAAGCAGGUUACGCGGGUUCGAUUCCCGCCUACCGCACC